UUGCCCUGACCAACCAAUCAGAGGACAGAAAAAUGCAGAUGCUAUUGGGGCCCAGCGAGCUGAUCCUGUGAGGACCAAUCAAAUAAUUCAAUUACAAAAAAUGGAAUUUGGUUAAAUUGGCCAGCGGGGGCUUCGUGCAAGCAGAUUGCAUCUGUACUGUACAUGAGUUGACGCUGGAAAGCAGCCAGACACUUGACACGACAACCGGCUCGCCCAAUAGACUGUAAACAAGGACGUCGACAGGCGGCACGGCGCCCUCUUGGCAGUCAUGUGGUCGUCGGCCGAGGCGUUGGACGAGGAGUCCGGGUCGCUUUCGCUGUCUUCUAUGGAGGCAAACACAGACCUAUCAAUACAGACGGGACAACAGAGCACAGGGCAAGGGCUUACUCUCACUAACACCCCAUCAGCGCGAGGAAUGCUGCCACGUCCCUCCGCCGUCCUGUACCUGUGGCGCUCUCCUGUCCGAGGACUUCCUGGGAGCUGUUGCCGCAGCACUCACUGUCUUCGGUGAACUCGUCCCUGCCGUCCAUGUUAAUAGUGUGCUGAAAUCCCGUGAUGCCGGAAGUGUGGAAUGGCCCUGGAGAGAAGGCAGUAAACGUUUGGUUUUCAUAACAUGUCUAUACCAGUAAUAAAAUAUAAAUCAUAAUAAUACCAGUAAUAGUACUCUACAGUAUGGUUCCUUAUAAAUACAUACAAUAAUAACAUAAUUAAACUGAAUAUAAAGAAUUUAACAGUUUGUACGUCAUGAUUUCAUGGAUUCAUUGCGUGGCUCCUUCUGGUGUGCACACAGGGGCCACUAGGGGGCAGUAUAAUACAUCCAUACGUAUAUACACGAAGACAACGGUCACAACUGCUCAGUCAGCCGCACUAAUGUUGUUUUUCCACAGAGGAUAAAAUACACGCCUGUGAGUAUUAUAUUGUCUGUCUACAUGUGUCGCUGCACUGUUUGUGUUAAAAUGUCCGUUGGUUAAAGGCUUAUAACACAGCGACAAUGCUAGUUUCGUUAGCACUUCUAUGGCAUUUUGCAUUGUGUGUUAAAAUUCAAACUUUGAUCAAAGUCAUGUGGUGUUUUGUUGAAUACGCAUGUAUUUGUCUUUGUUUUAUGUUUAGUAUUCCAGUGAACUUCAACUGGGAAUGGCAAUAAAAAAAACCUUGAAGUUA
Long non-coding RNA from Phyllopteryx taeniolatus (common seadragon), 1161 nucleotides. RefSeq lists it as uncharacterized. NCBI's taxonomy places the organism in Eukaryota, Metazoa, Chordata, Actinopteri, Syngnathiformes, Syngnathidae. The record is from RefSeq and is a predicted model, not a curated record. The transcript is spliced from 3 exons.